Molecule: ribosomal RNA, 495 nt
Filed under: uncultured bacterium
Lineage: Bacteria
Description: partial 16S ribosomal RNA
Rfam family: Bacterial small subunit ribosomal RNA
Source: RNAcentral
GACGAACGCUGGCGGCGUGCCUAAUACAUGCAAGUAGAACGCUGAAGGAGGAGCUUUCUUCUCUGGAUGAGUUGCGAACGGGUGAGUAACGCGUAGGUAACCUGCCUGGUAGCGGGUGAUAACUAUUGGAAACGAUAGCUAAUACCGCAUAAGAGUAGAUGUUGCAUGACAUUUACUUAAAAGGUGCAAUUGCAUCACUACCAGAUGGACCUGCGUUGUAUUAGCUAGUUGGUGAGGUAACGGCUCACCAAGGCAACGAUACAUAGCCGACCUGAGAGGGUGAUCGGCCAACCUGGGACUGAGACACGGCCCAGACUCCUACGGGAGGCAGCAGUAGGGAAUCUUCGGCAAUGGACGGAAGUCUGACCGAGCAACGCCGCGUGAGUGAAGAAGGUUUUCGGAUCGUAAAGCUCUGUUGUAAGAGAAGAACGAGUGUGAGAGUGGAAAGUUCACACUGUGACGGUAUCUUACCAGAAAGGGACGGCUAACUACGUG